Molecule: long non-coding RNA, 4262 nt
Organism: Pseudopipra pipra
Lineage: Eukaryota; Metazoa; Chordata; Aves; Passeriformes; Pipridae
Exons: 3
Source: RefSeq, a predicted model, not a curated record
UUUGUGUGUUUGAAUUGCUUUUGAAGUCCUUCUUCUAUCCAUACUAAUAUCCAUAAUUAAGAUUUUAUUUUUUUAAUGAUUAUAUGGCUGAAGCUGAUAUUUCUAGAGGUAAAAAACACAAACCAAACAAAACAUCUCAAUGCUGGGCAGAUUCCUGCUAAGUGGUCUGUAUAGCACCACUGAUGUGCAAAAGAACAAGAAGUAAAAAUGCCAGAGUUCCUCCUCCUCUCAUUUUUCGUGGUAUAUGGACAGAACUGGUGGAAUGUGAGACUCAGGGCAUAAGAAAGAUGUGGCACUCGAUUCUGCUUUUUAAAGAGUAUCCUAAUUGUAAGUAUCUUCAAGAGUUCUUUACUUCUUAUAAUUUUAACAGCCCUAUCUUGCUGUGUAAUACCAUUAAUAUGUACCUAGUGCAAGGUAUUGCAAGAAGUAUUCCUUUUUCUUAAGGGGGAACCUUAUCCUGAUUGCUUAACAGAACACUUUCAUUAAUGAAAUGGUGCUGCUUAUCACAAAAUCAGCUUUGUUCAUGUUUGCAUUAUUGUAGCUUCAAAAUGCUUCCUCUUUAUCCAUGGUUCUUUCCUGAUGAUAUUGGAAGUAGCAUGGUUCCCAAAAAGAUGUUUUAGCAUUUCUCUUCUGAGUAACUAUGAAACACUGAAGUACUUUCUAUUGAUUUAGAUUUUGUAUCUCAUAGGUCCUGAUCCCUCAACUGAAAUAUUUAACAGGGGAAUGUCUGGGAGUGGUUUAUUAAUGAAAUGUAUAUAGUCUAGAAUGUAGUGCACUGUUGACAGAUUCAGUAGGAGUCCCCAUCUGACCAGUAAAGACUGGCAGUGUAAAGCACUCUGAGGGCAAGGCCAAGCACAAAGCAGAAUAAUUUAGGCCCAUUUGCCUGUGUAAAAUUCCUGCAAAACUGAUUAUAUUUCCCUUCAUGCGAGGAGAAAUGCAACAUACUCUCAGCUGUCAUCUGCUAGGGAAUCAUCUUCUGGAACACACAGCCAGUUUGAUUGUGGGACACUUAGUCCAGGUGGAAUUUCUCCAACUUGCUGGAGUUAAAUUGUUGCCAGGAUUGUGUCCUGCAAAUAAAUAGAGGAAAGAGAUAGUCCUGCUGGAGACCUGAUUCUCAAAAAAAAAAAAAUUUUUUUUAAACAAAUGGCAUUUCUGAGAAAUUAAGUAAAAUGUUUCAAGAUAAAAGAAUGUUUGAGAAAUUGAGUAAAAUGUUUCAAGAUAAAAGAAUGUUAAAUAUAGCUAGAAAUAAGAGAGCCAUAUGUUGAAAGCAUAUCAGCUUUGAAACCAUGCACUUAACCCUGGGACUCAACAAGAUCUCACAUUUUAAAUAAAAAAUUUAACUUCCUGAAAAGAUAAAGUUCAUUCAUCUUAAGGGUAGCCUAGAAAAAAAAUAGGGAAACGUAAUCUGUGGAGAAACCCUUCACUUAGAUAAGCAUCUUUGACAUUAGGAAAAAAGAAUAUAAUGUGUAAAAAUAAGAUGGGUUGUAUCCAUUCCUAAAGAGCUCUGUUGUUACAUUUGUACAUCAAAGUAGGAUUAGGGUUAUUUUCUGAGUGGUUUUUUUGGCUAACAAGUACAUUAUCUUACAAAACCAUUGCCAGAAACAUAAAAUCUUUGUUCAAUGGGAAAGAAAUGCACCAUUUUAGCACUCCUAUUUGAAACAUUAUACAGAGUGCAGGCUGUUCUAAGUUCAAUGCAAGUGUUACAUAAAUAUACCCAUUAGAAAUUUGGUCCUCUAGAAGGAGUUUAUUUGGAUGCUUCUAAAUAAUAUUGAUAAAUGUCAACAUUUGAGCAUAAGACAGUAUGCACAGUUUGUCCAACCAUCAUCUAUGUUCAAUUGAAUUGAUUUUAUUUCUUACACAGGCUGAGUUUUCAUCCUGGAAUAAGUUUUCCAGUAACAAAAGGACAGAUCAGGAAAUGUGUAAAAUGGAUCAGUGCCCAAAAGACUAAGUUAUACAUCUAUUCUUGGAAAAACAUGAGGACAUGAUGUCUUAAAAAGAAAGGCAUAAAUCACAGAACAUAAAUUCAUUUGAACUUGCAUGUUGAGCCGCACUGUCUCUAGAAAUCCUCAGCAUGUUGCUGACUGUGACACGUAGGCUCUGCUUUGGAGGUCCUUACCUUAGACAGGGAGGGCCAGUGAGUGCCAUUGGAAUAGAGUGGCCAACUUCCCCAGGGAUUUUACUGAUUUUCAUGGAGGACUCCAUCUUCAUUGGAGCUUUCUUUCAUUCAAGAGGCAUUCAAGUUCUUGCCGUUUCGGACACAUUUGAAAACACUUUCCAGGUAAAACUGUUGAGUUUACAUUCCUUGUUUCAAAGAACCCACGUGUUGUCUGUGCCUGCACAAACUAGUCUGACACCCUUUUAGAAAUCAGGUUUACCUUUUCCCUUUUGUACAGAACACUUUAUAAGCCCCAGUAAAACUGCAGCCAUGGUGGAGAAACAACACGUGGUGCCAGUGGUAACAGCCUCUGAGAAAGAAGGAAUAUUUAAGGAAUUAAGAGUACAACAAUCUCUGAUAAAACCUGCCCAGUUAUUUAGUAUCAUAAAUGCAUUUUGGAACAGUGUCAUGUUCAUUAUAUACAUUAAAAGAAGCAAACAUAUAUUUGAUUGUCUCAUUAAGAGCAAAAGUUAUAUUUUUCAAUAAUGUCCAUGGCACUGGAUCCAAACUGUUGGAGAAUUGCUUGAAUAAAUGCACUGUGUUUUCAUGAUGUAUGCUUUCUCUAGAAGUUACCCUACCUUCUGAUGAUUGAGUCUAACCCUCUUUAACUACUUUGACAAGAUUAUUGCCUGAAGUAACAUUUUUAAUUAGCAUUCUUGUUUGUUUACGUCUAGAGAUUGAGGGGGAAAAUAACUAAAAGCUUUGGAACAGCUCUUGAGUCUGCACUUGCUCUAAGCUGGAAGAAAAUAAUUUUUAGUAUAUGUUUAAAAUUAUGUAACACAUUUCAGAUGUUGGUUCCGAUUACUGUUAAAAUGACAUUCAAAUCUGGGAGUGUUUCUCGCUGGUUUUGUCCUUUUAAAAAUUUCCACUGUGCUUUUUUUCAUCUUUAAUUAAAUUUCAAUUCAUUUUAUAAUAGCAAUUAAAGUAUUUACAGCAAGAAAUUCUAUCCAUUUGCAAAACUGCAAUAAAUUGUAACCUUUUCACAAACAAACAAACUUUGUAUAAGGUUUGCAAAGUCUUUUUCCUGUAUUUGUAAGGCAUUGAAGGGUAGAUCAUCAGCUGGUAUAAGUCACUGUCAUUCACUGGAGUCAGAAGAGCAAUUUUGAUUUACAGCAGUAGAAUUUGGCCAAUAAUCUAAUUAAUAUAAUCAAAACCAUGUACAGACACCAGAAUAAACAAUACCAAACAGUAAGGCAAGUAACCUAUCUUACAAUGAAAAUAAAAUGAAUGUCCCAGGCUUCUUAAAUCACUGUUUCAUUACAUAGCUUUGCUUUCUAUCAUCUUUGAUCUCCUUCAUUUCAUUAGAGCAAACUUCUCGUUAGAGGCAUUAAUGUCUUCCUAUGAAAUGGAUCUCACUUUCAACACUGAUAUCUACUGACUUUUUCCAGUUUCAGCUUCAGUCUUUUUAUACAGUACUUAAAAAAAGAAAAAAAAAAAAGCAAAAAACAAAACAAAUUAUUACAUCAUAAGUAGAGGAACAUAUGACACAUCCAAAAGUGAGUACACAAUAAAUAUGUUUCUAAUAAAUACUUUGGUGCUGAGUAAAUUACAGAAGAGAGCAGACAAUAAACCACCAUUCUGCUAUUUAUGCUUUUUCUUAGCAUGGUAGCAGUUAUUAAAUUAGUUUAAUCGUAGCCAAGCAGUUGAGGUGCAGUAGCACUGCUUAUUACACCAGCCAUUAUCAUCUCACUGUUACCUUGGGCUUUCCUCAUCUGUUUUGUAUUCACUGUAUUGCUCAGAUUCAUAGCUUGCAAGCUUUCUUAUGUUAUAUAAAAAAUGGGUAUAUUUGCAUGUCACAACUGGGCCUUGAUAUAUGAUUAUGGCCUUCAAGGUUUUUUCAAGAAUAUAUACUGAUUAUAAUAAUUUCAGGGCAAUGGAAAAAACUCAUUUAGCCUCAGGAUAGAACACUGUGUAAAAAUUUUACCCUGUUCAGCUUGUAUUGAUUCACAGCUGCACAGAGAAACAGAAGAGAGAAAGCUUAGAAGAGCAUGCCCACUACAUACCAAUUUUAGCAAUGGUUGUACCCGUAGUAAAUUCUACAAAGUUAGGGCAUUUUUUUCAUUAAGUUAUACCAGUUCAAUUGUGGGUUUUGUGAAUUCUGAGUAUU